Oncorhynchus tshawytscha (Chinook salmon) is the source of this 666-nucleotide long non-coding RNA. The record is from Ensembl. NCBI's taxonomy places the organism in Eukaryota, Metazoa, Chordata, Actinopteri, Salmoniformes, Salmonidae.
CAGAAACAAAUGGGAGCUGUCACCUAGCAUAUGAUGCUGCCUCUGCUGUUUACCAAGGAUGGGGAGAGAUUGAUGUUCCUCUUCCUUACCCCCCAUUCUCUCAGGUCACCCCAGUUAAUGUCCUAUUUACAGCGGGCAUCUGUCAGCCUCCCUUUAUGGGUCAUGCCCCUCUCCCACACUGAGACGCACCGCGCUGCUCCGCUACCCAUCAGCCCAUACAAAUGCUGACCCGAUGACCCUGCUGAGGACACACUCUGACCCUGCCACAGCUGGAUCCGCCAGAAGUUGCCUUCUUCAUCAGAAAUAACUCCUCUGCAGGUCAGCAGCUGCUCUUGGGUUCCCGUGUCGCCGUCAUGCAGAGAGAGAAAGACAUGUCAGGAACCAGUUCUGCAACCCAGUGUUGAUACUCUUCGCAUUCUAUACAGGGGGAAACGUUUAAGAAACAUUGAGGGAACUCUCAUCAUCAAUCUGCCCAAAAACAGAACAAAGGGAAGGUUAUUACAGAUGCUCCCAUUCGCUAAGUUGAGAACAUGAAUUGAUGUCGGAUCCAUGAUGUACUGUGUGUAUCAAUAUAUUCUGUAAUCUGUGUGUCUCUCACAACCCAUUAAACAAGGGUGAAUGUAAUCACUUCACAAAGUAUGUCACUUCUCCCUCCAUUCAAAUUCA